Molecule: ribosomal RNA, 253 nt
Filed under: uncultured bacterium
Lineage: Bacteria
Description: partial 16S ribosomal RNA
Rfam family: Bacterial small subunit ribosomal RNA
Source: RNAcentral
UACAGAGGUGGCAAGCGUUGUUCGGAAUUACUGGGCGUAAAGGGCGCGUAGGCGGCCUUCUAAGUCAGACGUGAAAUCCCCAGGCUUAACUUGGGAACUGCGUCUGAUACUGGGAGGCUUGAGUGCGGGAGAGGUGAGUGGAACUCCGAGUGUAGAGGUGAAAUUCGUAGAUAUUCGGAAGAACACCAGUGGCGAAGGCGGCUCACUGGCCCGGUACUGACGCUCAUGUGCGAAAGCGUGGGGAGCAAACAGG